GACGAACGCUGGCGGCGUGCUUAACACAUGCAAGUCGGACGAAGUGGCGAACGGGUGAGUCACGCGUAAUCAACCUGCCCUUCAGAGGGGAACAACAGUUGGCAACGACUGCUAAUACCGCAUACUGAAGAAGGGGAUUGCGUCUGAUGAGUUAGUUGGAGGGGUAACGGCCCACCAAGUCGAUGAUCAGUAGCCGGUCUGAGAGGAUGAACGGCCACAAUUGGACUGAGAAACGCCCCAGACUUCUACGGGAGGGUGAAGUGGGUAAACUACCCAAAGGGACGGAAGUCGGACCGAGCAACGCCGCGUGAGUGAUGACGGGCUUAGGGUUGGAAAGCUCUGUUAACAGGGACGCGGUACCGGAAUAGAAAGCCACGGCAAACUACGUGCCAGCCGCCGCGGUAAUAC
This 408-nucleotide ribosomal RNA is filed under the name uncultured bacterium. Its description in RNAcentral is "partial 16S ribosomal RNA". It matches the Rfam family "Bacterial small subunit ribosomal RNA", at positions 28 to 526 of the family's 1533-position model. The record is from RNAcentral.